CCUACGGGUGGCAGCAGUGGGGAAUAUUGCACAAUGGGGGAAACCCUGAUGCAGCGACGCCGCGUGAAGGAAGAAGUAUUUCGGUAUGUAAACUUCUAUCAGCAGGGAAGAAAAUGACGGUACCUGACUAAGAAGCCCCGGCUAACUACGUGCCAGCAGCCGCGGUAAUACGUAGGGGGCAAGCGUUAUCCGGAUUUACUGGGUGUAAAGGGAGCGUAGACGGCAGUGCAAGUCUGAAGUGAAAGCCCCGGGCUUAACCCGGGAACUGCUUUGGAAACUGUACGGCUGGAGUGCUGGAGAGGUAAGCGGAAUUCCUAGUGUAGCGGUGAAAUGCGUAGAUAUUAGGAGGAACACCAGUGGCGAAGGCGGCUUACUGGACAGUAACUGACGUUGAGGCUCGAAAGCGUGGGGAGCAAACAGGAUUAGAUACCCUUGUAGUC
RNAcentral lists this ribosomal RNA (440 nucleotides) under uncultured bacterium. RNAcentral describes it as "partial 16S ribosomal RNA". It matches the Rfam family "Bacterial small subunit ribosomal RNA", at positions 338 to 795 of the family's 1533-position model. The record is from RNAcentral.